UCCUGUCCUGUUCUAUUCUAUUCUAUUCUAUUCUAUUCUAUUCUAUUCUAUUCUAUUCUAUUCUAUUCUGUCCUGUUCUGUUCUGUUCUUUGUCUACUGUAAAAUGGAAUCUGAGGUGUUGAGCAUUCUUGAUUCUCAUGAAAGACAAAAAGAGUUAAAAGCCCAAAAUCAGAAUAAAAUUAAAAAUAAAAUAUUGCCUCAGCAGUGGAUACAGUUCUGUUCAUCUCUACUCAGAAGCUGUAAGGUUGCAGAGCUGGAAUGCAUAAACAACUGCUGCCAUUUUAUCCCAUGCUAUUUAAAUUCAUUACUUGGUACAUAAAAGUAGUUACAACUCCCAUGACAGAUGCACCUUUAUUGAUUAGAAGUAAGUUUCUUUCUGAUGAGUUAGGAAAGGCUGGGCAUUACACACAUGCAUAGGAACAAUGUACAGCUACAUAAUUUACAUCUUGCAGAAUGAAAGAAAAAGUGAAGUAUUGAUGAUUUAUUGAUUACAGCUCUCAUUUAGAUGAGGAGGUGCAGGAAGUGAUAAAUAAUGUAAAUAUUUUAAAAUUCUGUCAGUGAUAAUCUAAAGGGAAUAUUGUGAUUUGCAAUAAUACUUGGAAAAAUUCCUCCACUAAUGCCAGCAACUAGAAUUUUUUGUACAACAG
This 647-nucleotide long non-coding RNA is filed under the name Gallus gallus (chicken). Lineage: Eukaryota; Metazoa; Chordata; Aves; Galliformes; Phasianidae. The record is from RNAcentral.